This 27716-nucleotide long non-coding RNA is filed under the name Triticum aestivum (bread wheat). Its description in RNAcentral is "long non-coding RNA (TAES_LNC022801)". The stretch from base 11561 to 11740 matches the Rfam family "Early nodulin 40". The record is from RNAcentral. Lineage: Eukaryota; Viridiplantae; Streptophyta; Magnoliopsida; Poales; Poaceae.
CUCUACGUACGUAGCUAGCCAGCCAGUAGGACUAGUUCAUCUGUGCGUGUGCCGACCUACAUAUAUAUAGCUACAUAUUUGGUGCUUAAUUUGUUAUUGGUCUCUCCCUACGUGCCUGGAGCUGGUGGUCAAAAGUUUUUGAUGGGUCCUUCUUCCUUGGUUUAGUUGAGACUUCAGAGUAAUUUGGGUGUUAAUUAAGAGAGAUUGUUUAUUUUCUGUUUGCUACUCCAGAUUGUUUAGCAGAGCUUAGUGGCUAGGAACUUGUAAGACAGUGGUUUCUGCUGGAAUGAUUGAUCCAAGAAUUCGUUGUAGCUUGUGAACCUUUUGCUUUGUCAGUAGCUUGUGAAUUUGGGUGAUAGUAGGGAGUUAUUCAUGUUUUACUUUGCUGGCUCGUUCAUCGAGUUUAACCGAACAAGUUUCACCAUAGUACCCCUCAAAAAAAAAAAUCACCAUAGUCACUGGUAAAAAAACACUGAACAUAAAUACUCCAGUGUAGAUCUGAACUGUCGACAUGGGGACCGAAUAAACAGAGGAGGCAGAUGAUGCAUGAUUCAGAAUUCAGAGCAGUGCGCACUUCACCAGAAAAAAACCAGGGCCUGAAAAUCUCACCUGAUCAUUCCACGCCUUCCCAGUUCCAGUUGCCAAUCAGACGAGGAGGUGCUCGUUUUCUAUGUCCAAUUUCCGGUCAUAUUACUCAGAAGCUGCCGAACAGCACACCCGGCAUGCACAGUAGCGCCUGCACUUGCACUUCAGAAACUGUGACCAUGAUUGUACGUACUUCAGAACUGUGGUUUUGAUUUACAUGCCGUAGGUGUGUUGUUUUCUUGUUCAAGCAGGGAAAUGCACACCUGGGAAGUUUGAAUGCAGAGGAAAAUGGAUUAACAAACUUAAAAUUCAGAUAAUUCAUACAUAUCACCCUUUGGGUGCUAGACUCCUGGGUCGUUCAUUGAGUUUAACCGAAGAAAUUUCACCAUGGUCACUGGUAAAAUCACUGAACAUAAAUACUCCAGUGUAGAUCUGAACUGCCGAAAUGGGGACCGAAUAAACAGAGGAGGGCAGAGUAUACAGGAUUCAGAAUUCAGAGCAGUGCGCUUCACCGGAAAUUCAGAGCCUGAAAUCCUCACCUGAAUCAUUCCCAUGCCUUCCCAGUUCCACCAAUAAGACGAGGAGGUGCUUGUUUUUUAUGUCCGAUUAACAGUCUUAUUGCUCAGAAGUUGCAGAACAGCACACCCGGUAUGAGUGGCGCCUGCACUUCAGAACCAUGACUUUGAUUGAACGGCCUGCAUCUCAGAACUGUGGUUUUGAUUUCCAUGCCGUAGGUGUGUUGUUUUAUUCUUCAAGCAAGAGAAAUGCACGGCUGGGAAGUUUGAAGCAUUGGUUCCGUUUGGGAUCAGCCAAACUGCAUAUUCGGUAAUGCAGAGAAAAAUAAAUUAUUUAAAAAUUCAGAUAAUUCAUACAGAUCACCGUUCAUUGCUACAAUUAUAGUCAGCGAGUUGCUACUAGGUUUCCCAUGAGCCCUCCACCAAGUUCAUAGUGCUUGGCUGAGGAAAACCCUGCUUCUUUGGCUAACUUCUCCAACUCCUCUCCUGGACAACAGAUAAACAAAGACAAGCUUGAGGUAAAUAAAGGAAGGUGAUAAAAUCGUGAAGUAGUUCAUAGUCAUUGGUGAAAUGGCACAUACCACUCCAUCGUUUGGAACAAAAGAAUUCACUAUUAUCUUAAAAAAAGCAGAAUGAUAUGUACAUCUAUAUAAUGUCAUGGCUUUGCACAUGAAGGAAAUAGAUGGUAAAUGUACUCCAUCAGGACAAGUUGAGAUGUCUGUUGAUGUACUUGUGCUAUCAGAGUAGCAAGUUUUGAGAUACACCACUCUUGGUUUAUUCUUUUUUCUAGGUGCACUCUAGUUUAGUUCAUAGACACGCACUAUGUGUUACAUGAUGAUGUGAUAUGUUUUCUGUCAUGGAAGUUUUCACAGGAACGAAACAUUAUGUUCAAACCUGUAAGAUACUGUGAUAUCGAACUUUUCAAGUACUUGUACUCUUCAGUAAGUCCAUAGCUACUAGCCAGAGGAACGACCACAUUAUCGAUCGCCCAACUCUGUCCAAGAAAAAAAAAUUAGUGAGGAUUGUAGGAUCAGUUCCAAAGUCUUAUAUGGGGCAUGAAGCCAACAUGUGAUUUUGCUACAAUGUCAUGGUGGAAAAGUGGAUGAUUGGUCUUUGUCAGAAAAGUUUAACAGGCCAAUUCAUCCCGUAUCAUGUAUGCAAGAUGGGGUGAAACUUUACUUGUAAUGAUGCCGUGAAAAUUGAGGAGCUCUUGUUAAAAUCUAGAACAGAUGCUCGUGAUCCUGCAGUCUAGAAAAACCAAAUCAUGAGAAUUCAUGCUGAACUGAAACAGAAUUUGAACCGUACACCCAACCUGGUUUUAGGACUCUAAGGAUCUCUUGCAUUGCUUUGGGUCUGUCAACCACAUUGCGCAAUCCAUAACCAACUGUAACAGCAUCAAAGUAACGGUCCGUGAAAGGUAAAUCAAGUGCAUCGCCCUCGAUCCAUCUGCAACAAAGCAUAUCAGCAUAUCGUUAGCCAAGCACAUAAGUUGCUAGCCUGACCAAAAGACAAGCACAUUCUGCAUAUCCUCACAAAACCGCACAUAGCAGGAAUUUCAGAAUUCCCAAGCUCUCACAUUGGGGGUGCUCACUUGAUGUUCUUGUAGCAAGCCUUCCAGCGUUGAUCCUGACGGCUAGCAGCAGUUUGCAGCUGCUUCCCUGAGAAAUCGACACCCAUCACCUGUGGCAUUUGAGAGGUUGGGCCAUAAGAUUACCAACCUCCAAAAAAUUGCUUGGAUAUUCUGAAGUUCUGAACCCUGAAGCCAAUCCGACAUUUCAGUAGAGUACCAACCUCUCCGUCUAGGCCGACCUUCUGAAACAGAAGGAACGCCAAAUCCCCGCUCCCGCAACAGAGAUCAAGAACCCGAUCCCCUCUCUUCGCCCUGAUGUUCAGAAAACAAAAUUUUCCCAUCAACCAGGUGUCUUCUGAAUUCACAUUACCAAGAGACGCAGAUGCGCUUCCACGUCCGGUGCUGCCCCAGGCUGAGCACGUCGUUGAGCUACAAGGAACGCGGCACCGCAGCGCUGUCGUCAGUACAGUACGUAUUUGCCAAUGCAGCGGAAAGGGGGAGGGGAGUGGGAGGCACGGACAUGGUCGUAGACGGGGGCGAUGCGGCUGAAGAGGGCCUGCCGCUCGUCGGCCGCGGAGGAGCAGCGCACGGCGACGGAGCCGCGGCGGCGUCGUCGGCAGCCGGCGUGGCUUAUACCCGUCGCCGUCGCCCCGGCGGUCACGGGAAUCGCCGCGGCUAAGGUGCCCAUCGGUGUCCGUUUGCUCGCCCCCGCCACAUGAUCUCUACUCCUAACGAAGCAGUUGGUAGUCUUGCUUCCAGGUUUUUUUUCGUCCCACCACUUUCGUUCGGUUUUUUUCGUAGGUUAACCGUCGUAAAUUUUUUUCGAUGUUGGUUUCUUAUUCACCGGUUUAUUUACCCCUCAGCUCUUUCCUUGCAAAUCAGCACUUUUCAAACGUGCACGCAAUCACGGAUCUAAAUUUACUAACUUAUUCAAAUCAACCGAUACCUUCCAUUAUUGCAAAUUUCUUUAGGAAACAAAUAAUAGAUUUUAAGGAAACAAAUAAAAGAUUUUAAAGACGCAUCAUACUUUACUAACAAUCACUAAAAAUCAAAUCUAAAUUAAUUAACCUUACCUUAAAUCACUCAAUCACUUUAAUUAGAAAACAUUUUCUUUCCUAACUGCACCCCGCUUAGUGUGCACAUAACAAUCCGAAGUAAUUAGAGUCACAUGAUUGAAUCCAUUUAUUUAGAGCGACAUGAUUGCGUUCCGGGAUGGAGGCCAUGAUUUCGUCGAGGUCGUUGUUGCCUCCUACACUCAGGGUGUGUCGCCGAGAUCGAGGCGAGCAUGAGGAGCUGUGGCCACUGCCAUGGUCACCCCAUCGCAGGGGAUGGAGCACGCCGUCGGCCUACAGCUUGUGGAGAUCACUGUUGCUCUCCUAAUGGAGCAGUUGGUAGUCUCGCUUCUAGGUUUUUUUUCGUCCCACCACUUUCGUCCGGUUUUUUUUCGUAGGUUAACCGUCGUAGAUUUUUUUUCGAUGUUGGUUUCUUAUUCACCGGUUUAUUUACCCCUCAGCUCUUUCCUUGCAAAUCAGCACUUUCCAAACGUGCACGCAAUCACGGAUCUAAAUUUACUAACUUAUCCAAAUCAACCGAUAUCUUCCAUUAUUGCAAAUUUCUUUAGGAAACAAAUAAUAGAUUUUAAGGAAAUAAAUAAAAGAUUUUAAAGACGCAUCAUACUUUACUAACAAUCACUAAAAAUCAAAUCUAAAUUAAUUAACCUUACGUUAAAUCACUCAAUCACUUUAAUUAGAAAACAUUUUCUUUCCUAACUGCAUCCCGCUUAGUGUGCACAUAACAAUCCGAAGUAAUUAGAGUCACAUGAUUGAAUCCAUUUAUUUAGAGCGACAUGAUUGCGUUCCGGGAUGGAGGCCAUGAUUUCGUCGAGGUCGUUGCUGCCUCCUACACUCAGGGUGUGUCGCCGAGAUCGAGGCGAGCAUGAGGAGCUGUGGCCACCGCCAUGGUCACCCCAUCGCAGGGGAUGGAGCACGCCGUCGGCCUACAGCUUGUGGAGAUCACUGUUGCUCUUCAGGUCGCGUGGUGACCGGAUCUUGCCGAUGUGUCCCUCCCCGACGACCUCCUCUUCGCCUGGUUGGCUGGCAUGGAUCUCGCCACUACUGCCCUUAACUUCUCUGCCUCGAGCUCGACGGUCAGCCACCAUGGAUCCCCCAGCUGGAGGGUCACGUGAACCAGCCGUCCUCCCAUGCUGCAGCGGCGAGAAUGUGACAUGGCUCUCCGUACACGAAGAGUGGAGUUCGGUCAAGUACUUAUAUACUUGGCCUCUACUGCUGAUCCAUGUACAUGGAGAAGAACAGGCAACUGCUCAUUCAUGCUUCGUUCCACUCCUUUGCGCUACAUUACUGGAGGUGACAUUUUUCUAUCUCUCUAUGUUGUAACAAGCCUGCUGCCUGCAUAGUUAAUGGAUUUUUUUUAUUUAAAUUUAUCGCUGCUUAGUGCUUUGUUGCAAUUGUUCACCCAAGAUUCUUAUAUAUAAUCUGAGCGUAUGUAGGCAUACUUAGCUUUGCUAUUCCAUUUUUUCCUGGCGCAUAGAAAUAAGAGUGUUGUCCAGGUUAGGUAUUCAAUUGAGUAUGGUAUUUAGAUUGCUAUCAGAAUGUCUUUUCUAUGCAUGUGAUUUCUCAUAUCUGAUUAUAAUAUUUGUGAAGUCGUGCAUUGCACGUGCACUUGGAAGCGGGCCCGUGGCCCGCGCUGGACGGCGCCGACGCCGACCCGAACCACCUCGUCCGCGUAUUCUUGGAGUUGUGGCUGGUCGAUUUACAUGAAAUUAAUUCCCUCAAUUCUGGUGGCAAAUAUAAUACACAUAAUCCAUAUUGUUAUGCACUAGCGUGUAUGUGUGAAAUAGAUGUAUUAUGGUCCCGUACCCAAUAAGAUGGAUAUGUGUGUGUGUUAGAGCGAGAGGGAGACGGGGAUAGAGAGUGAGGAAGAGGGAGGGAGAGUGUGGUUCUGUGUGUGUGAAGAUUUGAUGGUAAAAAAAGUCGCCAAUGUCAUAAUAUUGAACUGUUAAAGUUAAUGUGGCCCCGUUGCAACGCACGGACGUUCUUCUAGUUAGGAUAGGUUACUAGUAGUAUGACUAGGUUUGACUGGUGACCAUUGACUCUUUUGCCCCUGCCUCUGAAGCUCAACUAUUUGGGAGUUCUCCACCCUCGCCGCCGCCGCCGCCUGCAUCCCGGGGGAGAGCGAGGGUCUGGGUAUGGACGUGGGGUCCUGCAACCUCGGCGGCAACGCCGACGCGGUGGAGUUCUGCCCGCACCGCCCCUUCCGCCACAUCCUGGCGGCCGCCACGUACACGCUGCAGGAGCAGGCGGGGGAGGAGCAGCAGCAGCAGGACCGCGCGGGCACCGUGUCGCUCUUCUCCGUCGACGCUGGCGCUGAGGACGAGUCCCGACGUCUCCGGCUGCUCCACACGGUGGAGACCGCCGGCGUCUUCGACAUGAAGUGGAGCCCCACGGCGCCGCUGCUCGCGCAGGCCGACGCCCACGGCCGCCUCGUGCUCCGGCGCCUCGAGCAUGAAGACGGCUCGGACGAAGGUGCUGCUUGCUAUUGCUUUUACUAUCUUAGCAAAUAUUGAAACAAAUACAGUAUGUUGUUAUGUUAAAAAAACAGGGCCAUGUGUUAACUGUUAAGUGUAACUGGUAGCAUCUGCUGGCAGGCUACGUUUCAUUAGGACUAGCAUGACCAGGUUUUGGUUGCCGAUGUUCAUACUAAAGGGGUAGUUUAAUCUGGAUUCAGAACAAGCUGUUUGUGGGCUGCGAUAUUCCGGGAAGAUUGCCAUUAUUUGUUGAUAACUAGGGUAAAUUGCUGCUGAUUGAUGAUCAAAGUAAAGUUGGGUUCGUCUGCUAGUCUUCUCGAAAUGCAUUGCUCAUAUUUUUCAUAAUAUCGUUGUUCGAUUAAAAAGUUAGCCUGGUGAAUUCCGUACUGAUCCCGGGAACUGAUGUAGCUGUAAACUAUAAACACUUCAUAUAUGUAAUAUCUUGAUCAUGUCUAAAAGUACAUGUACAUCCUGAGGGCUGAUACAAGUGCUUUGUAUGACCAAAUUACACAGGUGUUGUUCUCACAGACGUGGUUGCUGGAAACAUUUCUUCAUCAAUGUGCUUGUAUGUCGACUGGAACCAAAAUGCCGAUUCCCUGGCCGUUGCAUUAUCAGAUGGUUCACUGUCUGUGGUUCCCAUGAGAGAGGACCGCCUGGAGGUAUCAGAACAAUGGACUGCUCAUCAGUAUGAAGUUUGGACAUGUUAUUUCGAUCGUGCAAGACCACACUUGUUGUACAGUGGAUCGGACGACUGCUCUUUCGGUUGCUGGGAUUUGCGGGAAAGCCUAUCGAAUGCUGUGUUUCGGAAUAAGAAGACUCAUACUAUGGGUGUGUGUUGCAUUGCUCAGAACCCAUUGGAGGGGAAUAUGCUACUCACUGGAAGCUAUGAUGAAUUUCUCAGAGUUUGGGACAUGAGAUCAAUGAUGAAACCUGUGAACGAGAAGUCCCUGAAUUUAGGAGGUGGUGUAUGGAGGUUGAAAUAUCAUCCUAAUAUUGCAGAUGUAGUAUUGGCUGCAUGCAUGCACAACGGUUUUGCCAUUGUUAAAGCAGGGGCUGGAGAUGCUACCAUAAUGGAAACAUAUUGCAAGCAUGAGUCCUUAGCAUAUGGUGCAGAUUGGCAGACUAGUGAAGCAGCGGAACAUAACACAAAUUCUUCAGUUAUUGCUACUUGUUCAUUUUAUGACCGCCUUCUCCGUGUGUGGCAACCAGAGAACCUAGUCAACCACCCAACCUCUAAGGCGUAAAACAUCAUUAUGCCCAGUUGAAGCAUCAAUAUGGCAUGGACCAACCUAUUCCCUGAAUGAACCAAAUUGAUUUCAUUCAGGUAGCUCUUUGAAUUUAUGUUAAUUUAUUUCAAAUGGUGAGCUUAUAGUAGUAUGAUGUCUAAUUUAUAGCUAGGCAUUCACAGUAAUCAGUAUUUGUUGUAAGCUUCCACAAAACUUUGAAGUUAUCUGUUCAUGUUAUUUGAGCACAAACUGUUUUGAAGUUCAUCUGGUGACUGGUGCAUAGAAGCGAUGAUUCAGCAACAAUCUAGACAUCUACCUGGAAGAGCCUCUGACUGAGCUUUUUGCUGGUCAUAAACUAAUAAUUCUGUCUGAAAACUUACAGUAUGCUGUAUGCAGUGCUUUCUUAUUUUUCUUUUUGAUCACAUUCUGAUAACGGCUGGAAUGGUUACCGAUUUUACUUUUCCAGUGCAUGCACUGUUGCUUAUAUUAACCUACUGUGCAGUAUGGUCAACAUGCUAAUCACGAUUCUUAAAAGUGUUGGAUCAUUGUUUUUCUUGGAUGAAAUUUGAGGUAUUGGGUAGUUGCCACAGCCUCAGCGGGCCAAAACAAGGACAAAAAAGUUGUUAGUUACUUUUCUGAUAAGUUUUGUUAGUUACUUUUCUGAUAAGUUAAAAAUAUAUUGCAGUCUAGUGUAUCUUACUAAGUUACUAGUGACUCAUGAAGCAAUAAUCAAACCACGCUUCAGUAGAGCUACUUUAUUCUUUAUCGUUUGCAUUUUCCCAGAAAGUUCUGAGUCCUGCCUUUGUGCUAAUCACACAUGGCUCAGAAGGCAGGACGCAGAACAGAUCAACUGGUCCAGUUUACAGAACUGUUCUGCUCCUAUAUUGGUGAAAAUAAUGAAGACAUGGAUCAAUUUUGACAUGUACUUCCUCCGUAAAGAAAUAUAAGAGCGUUUAGAUCACUACAAGUACAUGUCAAAAUUGAUCCAUGUCUUCAUUAUUUUCACCAAUAUAGGAGCAGAACAGUUCUGUAAACUGGACCAGUUGAUGUUUACAGAGGGAGUACUUGACAGUGGUAUAAAUAACUAUGGGUAAUAUUUGAAGAUAACUUCAAAGGAUGCUUCAAUUUUUUGUGACUUGUUCUGAAAUCAUAAGAGGCAAAUCAUCUACAGUAGAAUGUGAUACCUUGGUAAUAAUGGACAAGAUGAGAUCUGUGUCACUUUGAAUAAACGGGAAUGCUGGUUGGCAAGUCAGAGAAAUAGAAUAAUGAGAAUCAUAUGGUUUGCUUGGGAUGAUAAGCGAAGAAAGCUCUAAGGUUUCCCUUCCUGCAUCCUUCUAUCUGACACCACUAAGUACUAACUGUGCACUAAUAAGAAUUAUCUGUUUCUACAUCAGGCCACCAAGAAUAGCUGUACUCCGAACAUGAACAAUAAAGAUAGUGAUGUGUUCAGUCUUAUGUAGCUAAGUAACCUUUGUUGUUUUCUGACCUUUUUCCUUAAAAAGGAUCCAAUAACAACUGUUUGUUUAGGUUAGCUACCAAGGGGACUUGAAUUUCAUUAUGCUAGAAUGGCUUACACUAGCUGGUUUAGUUGUGCUCUUAGGCCUUCGCCUGAUGGCUGACAUGCAGUGGGUAUGUUAAUCCACCCUUCAGCUGAGCAUAAUAGUGUUGUAUUGAUUCAUCCCACUGAUUUGCACGAAGCAUCUAGACCCAAGACCUAAGAGGCUAUGUGACAACUUAUUGCUUGAAUUUUCAUUGUAGAUAAUCUGAUUUACUGUCUGACAUAAAAUCUCUAGUUUGAUCCUACUCAUCUUUGCAGCCCUAUUGUAUUGAAUUGACAAUAUAGUUGACUUUCCAGACCUUAUCUGCUGAUGUCAUGGCCUCCUUUGGUUUCAUCAUGAAUGGCUACUCAGGGGAUUCUUUGACGUGAAGGGGGUCACCCCUACAUGGCUAAACCUAAUUUAUGGGUUAGUCUGGUAAGAAUACUGUAUCUAUGUUCCAGAGUUUAACUUGAUAAGUAAACACGGGCCGUUAUACAUCUGUUUUACUCUCCUUAAGCAUGAGAAACCUAAUUUCCAACCCUGAACAUGAUAUAUAUUUUUUGAACGGAAAAUUAUAGGGGAGGCUCGACAGUACAAAUUUAGUAAAAUAAGUACUCCCUCGGAUCCAUAUUACUUGUCGCUGUAUAACUUUGUACUAAACCAGCGACAAGUAACAUGGAUCGGAGGGAGUAGUAAUAAUCUGGUAAGCCUGCUCAUCAUUCAUUCUGUAAGAGAGAAGGAAAAGGUCUCUUUUAAUGAGGAAAGGCCAGGAGGCUAAACUAGGAGGAAUAUUAUGAAAAAAUUCUAGCAUUUCUUUGUUUCCAAAUGUUCCAAGCUGCUACAAGAAAGGCUUCUCUGGAGAGAGAUUUGCUGAGAGGAAGGAGCAAGGUGAAGAUUAAUUGAGGCCUAGCAGCCUCUGCUGAAGGAGCAGUUCCAGAAAAUAUGAUCACGAGUUUCAAGGGUCCCUGAGGUACGCAAACGCAGCUGGAACCGCCAUUCGUAUGAAAGUUACGUCUUUCAAGCAUAUCUUUAGUAUUUAGUCUGUCAUUAAAGAGUAAACAGGCAAAAGCUUUGAGUUUGGCUGAGCAUUUGAAUUUCCUCAUCCACGAGGAGAUGCUGUAUAUUUGGUCGCAUAAUAGCCAUUCCCCAAUUAGUCAGCUCUACAGCAGCUAUAGGAAUUACCCACAUAACCAUUGGUAAGAAGUGUAAGUAACUUGGUUAAAAACAUAACUCUAGUAUCUACUGCCUGCCUGCCUGGAUUUGAUAGAAUCAACCAGGUACAGCAUGUUCCGUUGGCCAUCACCAGGUGGUAACCAACCAAUCACUAUGGUGGGAACCACAAACCUUGGUUGUCUCUGACGUCACUGAUUGGUGCAUUUCUGCGAGGGCACUCACUAUGUGCAUCCCUCAGCCAUCUAUUAAAAGAACGAACAUUCAGAAAGUUCAUUGGAUUGCUCCACUUGAUUGCGGCCAACGAUUAAAUCCCACUUUGGUGGAGCAGUGGAGCCCCACGAUUGGUGGUAGUGAUUUCCUUGCUGUCGUACUGGGAGCACUUGUCCACUGAUUAUACGUAGUUGAUUUUUUUUGAGGAUUUAAUGUAUAUUCAAGGAUGGCCCAGGUGGGACUCGAGAGUGCUAAUCUUACUUGGAAGUUGGAACUGAGAUCUGGUGAUCAUGUCAACUUUAACAGCAUCGAGAUGGGAGACGAUUUAAUUAGAUAGAGGACUUUCUAGUACUUUACACUCCAGGGUGGGGAAAUGCAGCACUUCGGAUAAGAAUGAAGUAGUGGCUGAAUAGGAAGGCCACAUUGCUCUAUCUCCAUAUUCUAAAAGGCAUAGCUUUAGAGGUGGAGUGUGCUUCUUCAGCUUUUUGUAAAGGCUUUUAGGCUACCUUUAUAUUUUAUAGUACAUUCAGCCCACAUGAUCAGUUCCUGAAUUUCAUUUUGUUGGGAAAUAUCGCUUGCUGAAAGUACUGCUUGGCGAGGAAGGACCUACAUAACUGACAUUUUUAUGAGAAAACACAACUGGUAAAUUAGAGGUGCUAUUGGAUAAAACUGAAAAGGCUAAUGUCAAUGGAAUUAUGGGACAAGGAGCGAAGACCAAAUGACAAAUCAAGGAGAUAAUGAGGUAAAAAUCUGUACCUUGUGAAAAGAGAUGCUCACGAAGUUUACCGGUCUAGAUGCCCUGGAAUUGGAUGUUGAUUGCAACUGCUGCCUUACCUUUCUUAAAAUAUAGGUUUAACAUUGUUCUCGUGAGUAAAUAAAAUGUUUUUGAUAACAGUGGGUCUGGAAGUGGAAUGGGAAUUUCUCUAGAGAGAGAAUGUAGAUGAAAUUGACAUGCAGCGAGGCAACAACGACAUCAUUGUGAAUCCCAGCAAUUGAGCACUCGACACAGUAAAGUUUAGUUUACUCUCAUUGUCCUUUCUCCAAUAAUGCAUUGUACGCUGGCCAAUUUAAAAUGCCACCUUGCAGAUUCUUGGUGCUUGCACUAUGAUUUACCUGGCAAAGCACCUGCAGACAUCAGCAGCCUCACGAGCAUAUAAGGCAACCCUUCCCUCUCCUCUUGUCCACAGCCCCUACCGACUAUGGAAGGCGCAUGGCUCGAGCAUCUACAUGGCUCAUGAGAGCAGAAGCAGGGCCGGGAUGAACCGCAAAGCUGAGCGCUUCAGCUUGCGGUGCCUCUCCUGACCUCCCAGGUGGUCGCCUGAGGUACGCAAGAAUCGGCAAGUCACAAAACGGCAAUGGUGAACUCCGGCAGGAGUCCACCCCCCUUUUAUCCUUUUCUCUCCAUUCAGUUGUAUCAGGUGGAAGUCGAAUAAUCGGAAGUCUCUGUGUGUGAUGAAUCAGUGGAUGCUUCAAGUCCAUGUUUUGUUUUUCUCUUCCUUUAUUAUGUGUACUCUGGAAACACUACUAUAAAUGGCUGAUGUUCAUCUAGCAAAACCACUUUAUGGUGUCUUGUUUGAUUCUCUUGUGUCGUCUUUACCGGUUAACUUGUUAUAUAUGCUGCUUCGAAACAGAUUGGUGUAUGCUGUCUGUGCAGAAUACACUGCAUAUUUUGAACUCUGUGGCUCUUUUAAAUACGUUGACCCUACAGCGAUCUGUGCUGCUAUAAACAUAAUAUUUACAUGAUGUACUCCAAGGCAGAGAUUUUCUGGAAUUUUUUAUGAGCUAAAAAACAUCUAUAUGAAAGAUGGCAAUAAGAUCUAAAACUGAAAAGAGAAGGGGAACAAGUGAUGAAAAGGUUUCCCCCUUCUGGCUGUCUGGGACUUUAGCAUAUCUUGUGGACAAGUCCUGACUGGUACACUGAAAAAAAAUCAGCCAUGGUGCAAGCCAAUGAUGAUCUUCAUUUGUUCCUUAACAAGAAUCUCCUGUUGUGUAUUUAACGAGCUAUUGUAGUGUAAAAAACGCUCUUAAAUUAUGGGACGAAGUGAGUAACGAUCAAAUCCAUGUACAGAAUAUACAGGAUACGAGCUCUCAACUUACGGUAUCCAGCUUCACAUGUUGCAUCAGUUAUUGCGGCCUCCUAUUUACAUGAACUGCCGGGGAAGAACAUAUCUAAAAUGCCGCCGCCUUGUGAUGAUUAUUAGCUGCUAACCGGGUCUAACUAGACGGGGUUAUCUUCAAAGUGGAUUUCGAGAAGGCUUAUGAUAAAGUAAAAUGGCCUUUUCUUCAACAGGCAAUGCGUAUGAAGGGUUUUAGUGAAACCUGGAGGAACCAAGUAGAUACUCAAGUCCAGAAGGGUAGUGUCGGAAUUAAGGUGAAUGAUGACAUCGGUCACUACUUCCAGACGCAUAAGGGGUUGAGACAAGGGGAUUCCAUGUCACCUCUUCUGUUCAAUAUUGUGGCAGAUAUGUUGGCCAUCAUUAUUGGCAGGGCUAAGCAGCAUGGUCAUGUAGAGGGUCUAGUUCCUCAUCUAGUAGAUGGAGGGGUGUCCAUUCUACAAUAUGCUGAUGAUACUAUUCUUUUCAUGGAACAUGACUUGGCUAAGGCACGAAACAUGAAACUUAUCUUAUGUCUUUUCGAACAAUUGUCUGGCUUAAAAAUUAAUUUUCAUAAGAGCGAGGUGUUCUGCUUUGGGAAAGCCAAAGGCGAGGAACAUACAUACAGACAGUUGUUUGGAUGCGAUUUAGGUGCUUUACCAUUCAGUUAUUUGGGUAUUCCGAUUCAUCACCGUAAGCUGUCCAAUAAAGAAUGGAAAUGUAUUGAAGAACGAAUUGAAAAAAAAACUCAGCUGCUGGAAGGGCAAACUGAUGUCAUAUGGCGGUCGGCUAGUUUUGAUUAACUCAGUUCUGACCAGCAUGCCAAUGUUUUUACUUUCGUUCUUCGAAAUUCCGAAAGGGGUCCGGAAGCGACUUGAUUUCUUUAGAUCUUGUUUUUUUUGACAGUCUGAUGAGGCCAAGAGGAAAUACCGCCUCGCGCGAUGGGAUAUCCUGUGUAGACCAAAAGAUCAAGGGGGGCUUGGUAUUGAGAACUUAGAAAUUAAGAAUAAAUGCCUUAUGGGCAAAUGGUUAUACAAGUUAGAGACAGAGCCGGAGGGCAUGUGGUCUCAAAUCCUGCGUAAUAAGUAUUUGCACACGAAAACGCUUGCCCAGGCUACCUUCAGACCCACUGAUUCGCCGUUCUGGAAGGGACUCAUGAGAGCGAAGGACAUGUUCUUUCGUAGGGUCAAAUUCUUGGUUGGCAACGGGAUGUCAACAAGAUUUUGGGAGGAUACGUGGCUAGGAGAGACGCCUCUGGCCUUACAAUAUCCUACCCUCUACAAUAUUGUGCAACGUAAGGAGGAGUACGUAGGUAUAGUCCUUCAAACUAUCCCCUUGAAUAUCCAGUUCAGACGUACGUUAGUGGGUGAGAGGUGGACAGCCUGGAUGCACUUGGUUCGGAGGUUGAUUGAAGUUCGACUCUCCGACAUGCCGGACUCAACAAAAUGGAAGUUAACUAAAAAUGGGAUAUUUACGGUGAAAUCUUUUUAUACGGAUUUGAUUAAUUGUGGCCCCCUCUCAAAGUCUUUGCAUAUUUGGAAGGUUAGAGUUCCUUUGCGGAUUACAAUCUUUAUGUGGUUUGUUCACAAGCAAGUUAUUCUCACAAAGGACAACCUUCUUAAGAGGCGAUGGGUAGGAAACUCGCGGUGUUGUUUUUGUGCUCAGGAUGAGACAAUACAACAUUUAUUUAUUGAAUGCCCACUUGCCAAGUUACUUUGGAGAACGAUUCAUAUAGCCUUUAAUAUCAAUGCUCCGGUAGAUAUUGCGUCUAUGUUUGGGACGUGGUUAGCUGGGAUUGAACAGAACAUGGCAGCUCGUAUUAGGAUUGGAAUAUGCGCGCUAUUAUGGGCCAUAUGGAACUGCAGAAAUGAUAUGAUUUUUAACAGACGACACAACUUAACUUUUUUGCAGGUUAUCUUCAGAGCUAUAGCUUGGAUCCGUACGUGGUCCUUACUCACUCCUAUGGACUCCAGGGAGCCUUUGGUUACUGGGUGCAACCAAUGGGAGAUGGUGGCUCGGGGUAUAUUCAACCGGUUCGGAUGGCGUUCACAUAAUAGGAUAGGAGUCUGGAGAGCUUAUCCUUAUUUUUACCGUUUCGGUUGUCUUUGCCAUCUUGUAUUUUUCUAGUUUUUUGUUUUCUGUUUUGCUCCGUUUGCGAGCUGUGAGACAAUCAUGACGUUACUUUCUGGAUUUUUAAUAAGAGGGCCGUAUGCAUCAUCAUGAUGCAGAGGCCGGGGGCAUGCCUCCAUUUCCAAAAAAAACCGGGUUUAACUAACUGAAUGCAGGGAUUCCUCCAAGUUUAUCCACCUCUAAUCACAGAACUGAACUUCGUGAACUGCCUGUAAACUCUAUCUAACCCUUUUGCAAGCUAAAAGGACAAAAAAAGAAAUCAUGUAAGAGAAAAAUUCACUGUACGUCAUUAAACUUGAGCCGGGUGACAGUUUGGUACCACUACUUCAAAAUACCCUAACUACUGUUCAAGUACUUACGCAAGGGGUUCACUUUGGUCCAUUUGUACGAUUUCGUGUACGCAUUUACUGACUUGGCCGAGUCAGCGGCUGCCAGCUCGCUUUGACCACCACCUGGUCGAUCCUAGGGUGAAUACUAGUCGAUCGGGGGGGUGGAGGGGUGGGGGGUGCAAAAUGACCUGGUCGCACCUGGUCGGACCGACCGUGCACCUGGUCGGCCGCUCGCUUAUCCUCUUCUUCUCCUCCCAACCCUAGCCCAUUGCCGACGUCGACGCCCUCCCCCGCCGCAGCCAUUGCCGACGCCUUCCUCCGCCGCCUCCGUCCCCAUCGUCAUGUCGUCUUCCAGCUCCGUCCACAAUGCAUUGUGUGGCCGCUUCGUUGUUGUACCAUUGAACGAGUACCCGGAUUGCGGCGAGCAGGUGAGGUUCUACCGGUCUAGCACCGAUGAGCACGAUGGAUGGAUCUUCUACAAGUGCAUCAACCAUACUGUAAGUGCCAAUUCCUAGCUACUUGUUGAUUCAUGCCGUGUCAAUUCUUAGCAACAGUAGUUGAAGCAGAGCACUGAUUAAAUUAGGCCAUUAGUUGGUUAACUAGUCAUUGCUCUAAUUAAUACAAUAGUUUAGACCGUCCUUGGUUGCAAAAUUACUCACAGAACUAGUUGGUUAACUAGUCUGCCAUUGAUUCAUGCACUCUAAACUUUACUGUCACUCUGUAAAAAAAUUUCUCAGGUCACUUGUGAUUUCUGGCGCUGGGAGCUUGAAUAUGUGAUGCAUCUAGUUGAAACAAGGCAUCUGGUUGGUGAUGCUGCUGUAGAUGCAAUUGGUGCAGCUAAGGACAGGAGGGAAGAGCUUGAGAGGCAGAGGAUUGAAUCAAUGGCAGGCAGAAGCACAACUGGAAGGGGCAUGGCUGGAAGAGGCACUGUAGGCAGAACUAAUUAUGCCAGCUCCAGUGAGAAUAAGUAUGCUACCAAGCCACAAGUUGCUAUGCUGUUAGGAUUAGGCAGAGAGAUUUUGCUGUUACUAAAGCUGCUGAUGGCUGUUGUUAUAGUGCUUUGUGUGAUGUGUUGCACCUUAAUUAUGAAGUGAAGUGUUGUUAAAUGAGUAGGUGUAGGUGUUCUAAGAGAUCUCUUAUUCUAAAUUGAGCAUACUAAAAGCCAUUGUAGUGGCACGGUUGUUUGCUCAACAUGAAGUCUUAGUUGUAAUGCUUGUUAUAAUGGAUAAUAUAUCAGUAAUCUGAAGACCUUGUCCUAAUGUUUGAACUGUAUUUGAUAUCAGAAGUGUAGUUAAACUAAUUCUGACAGAAGUGUACUUUCUCCUAAUUCUGUCAGAAUUGUACUUAUCCUCAUUGCUUUGAAAUUACUGACAGAACUGCUGUCAUAACUAAUUGUUGACAGAAAUGCACUUAACCUAAUUGCUGUCAUAACUGAACUAACUUAUGUUAACUAAUUGCUGUCAUAACUGUAACUCAUGUCAGCCGAGGUCCCCUUUCUCAACACAACUGAACUCAAAAGCAAGCAUGUACUUGCACCUGCUGCAAACACCCACCCAUCAACUUGCACUCUACAUGUAGCUUUGGUCCACCACCACAACCACACCACCACUAGAUCCCCUUCUUCUUCGUCAUCUUUCAUCUUCAAUUUCGUACACCACCAGAUCCCUUCUCUCCUCUGUCCAAUAGCACCACCAGAUCCCCUUCUCAUAUUCAUCCAGCAGUAACCAUGGUGUCCUGGGAUGAUCUUCCCAGUUCUUCUGAAGAUGACUCUGUGACCAGCAAGGUUAGUGUGCUCCCCACCCAGUCUAGGGUUUCUCAGCUAGGGUUUCUCUGUUAAUUGAUUCCAAAUGUCUCUCUUUUGUUUAGCCACCUGCCACAAUUUCCUGUGAGGAAUGGAGUGGCUUGGCUACAGAUCUGCCUAGCUUUAGAUGUGGGCAUGGAUCGUGUGAGAAGCAUGUGGCAUUUGAAUCUAUUAAUAGUGGCAGAAGGUUUCUAGCUUGUGCACAGAAGGUUAGUAUUUUUUUGCAUUUGGCACUGUUAAACAGGAAGUCAUUUGAAGUAGGUUUUUAGUUUCAUCAUCAUGCACAGAACUGAAUACUGGCAGUUAACUGAAUUUUUUGUUUGGUCUAAAUUGUUAGGAAGUACCUAAAUGCAGAUAUGUUGAGUGGGUUGACCCUGAGUGGCCUGAUGCUCUGAAGAUGAGCCUAGAUAGUAUAUGGACCAUGUAUGAAGAGGAGAAAAAACAGAGGCUCAGACAGAAUGUUGUGAGUGCUGAAGAAAACUUGAAGGUUCUUGAAGAGAAGAAGAAGAUGGAGAAUGGGUUGAGGCAUUUCAAGCUUGAUUUUGCUAAGAUGGUGGCUGAUAAGCAGCAUGCAAUGAGCCAAUUAAGCAGCACACAACUUGCUUUGACUGAUCUAAAGGAAGAACAUGAGAAGAAGAAGAUGACAGACAAGUCAGUAACCAACAUUCAUCAGGUCUUCAGGGUUAAAGCAUAGAAAGAGGGACCAGGCAGUGCAGGAGAGGGACCAAGUGAUUCAAGAGAGGGAUGAUUUGAAUCAUGAGAAAAGGAAGCUUGAGUACAUGAUUGGUGAAUGGUGACCUAUUCAAACACAAAGAGGCCACCAAGGAGAAGAUAAGGAUGCUGAAGGGCAUGCUGAAUGAAUUUGAUUGAAUUUGUGUCAUUGUAAAAAAAAUAUGACUUUGUAUCUUUCCUAGAAUGUGUACUGUCUGUCAAAUGAACAUGAACCUUCUCCUGGAUUUGUACCUCUUUUCCUCUUAUUUGUAACUUAAUUUGAUUGAAUUUGUGUCAGUGUAGUUAACCAAGGGCAUUUUUGUUAUCAAGCCAUUUUUGUUAACUCAAUUUCUAUCUUUCUGACAUGUAUAGUUAACCUAGGGCAUUUCUGCUAUCAGGACAUUUUGUUGUUAAGAAGGGCUAGUUACCAAAUUUAGUUAAGUAAAUAUAUCUAAUAAAAUCAAAUAACUAUAGUUGUUGUUGUUGUUGCCAUAUGUUAACUCAAAUUGAAGUUAUCUGUCAAUUAACUAAAUUGUAUUGCUGAAUUUGCUGCAAACUAAACAUAUGUACCAAAUUUUGAUUCAAGAAAAAAAAAUUAACUAUAGUUAUUUGACAAAGUUCAGUUAAGACAAAGUUCAGUUAAGAUAACUGAAUUUUAACAAUUGACUGAAUUUAGUUAUGUGAUAAAGUUCAGUUAAGACAAAGUUCAGUUAAGACAAAAUUCAGUUAAGACAUAGAUUCUUCUUUUGGAUUGUUGCCUUAUAUAGCAACAAGACACUUUUGUAUUGUUGCCUUAUAUAGCAACAAGACAACAUCAACUAGACAUCAGCAUCAACAACAUCAUCAACUUAUGUGAUUAAUAUACAAGCACACCUGAUAAACUACACUAUUUUAUAACUUAUAUGCUGAAAAUUUGUAUAUUUCAGCAUACCGAACUAACUGCAACUGCAUCUUCUUCAUGUUGGCAACUGCAUCUUCUUCAUCUUCAGUUCUUCAUCUUCUGGAGGCGCUCCGAGCGGCGAACCUCCAUGGCAACUGUCACCUUCCUCUUCUUCUUCCUCUCUGGCUGUGCUGCGACGUCAACCUGUGCUUCCAGGCCCAAGACCACCUCUACCUCCUGCUUGACGAUGUCAGGAACAUAUGGAAGCAACUCGACGUCAAUGGGACGGUUCUUGUCACCCUCCCUGGCGACGGGCGCCACCAUUUGGACCUCUGGCUCGGGGACGACGGGCGCCGCCACCUUGACCUCCGACUCAUCGUCAGAGAGGACAAUCACCUCCGGCUCCUCCCAGCCAGUCGACCAGGACGAGUCGGCGUCGUAGCUAGAGGUGUCGUCGGAGUACGAGUCGGCAUCAGAGAUGUCAUUGCGCACCAGCAGGUUGGGCUGGAAGCAGUCCCAGUACGCCGUGUUGACAAGCACGGGGAAGACUAGUUCAACAUCCUUGACGCGCUCCAUCCUGGAGGAAACAUGAUGCGGAUCGAGCUGUCCUGGCGUGGUGGCGGACCGGUACAUCCACCACUGCGCACGCUGCCGUAGGUCGUCGGAGCGCGUCUCUUGCAUCCCGAAACGAAGGACCAACGCCGGAGAGAUACCUUUGGGGUCGGUGAUGGCGCGGUCCAGCUCGUCCUCGGUCAUGACCUUGAGGAGGCCACGCGCGUGGUGACGCAUCAUUUCGAUGCUCGGGAACCCCGCCUGAUCUCCUUCAGGUCGGCGCGUAUGGCCUUGUCGUUGCCUGCCAGGUCGUUGAUGAGCCUAUGCCAGGCGGGGCUGUUCUCCAUGGCGUCGACGGUGGUGUGGUGCUCGGUGGCGGGGAUUUUCUUGACGGUGGAGUGGGAGUUUGGUAGCAGGGUAACCGAGGCGACGUGGGUGGACUGUGGACUGGAGGUGAGUGGAGAGUGGAGCGGUGGGUGGGUGGGCUUAAAGAGCAGAGAAGGAAACCAAAAAGGCAUGGGCCAUUGGGCCACUAGCAACUACUAAAUAGUUAGUUUAGUACCUGCCCUUGAUCAAAGCACUAGUACUUACCCCACUGGCAUUGCCCCCAAAUGUUCAAUACCACAGGUCCUGGGUUCGAGACCCAGGCCACCCUUUUUUGUUUUUAUUUUUUAUUUUUUAUUUUAUGCAGUUAAGUACAAAACCAGUGAAGAGAUAAAUGAACCACUGAUUCAUUGUAGUUUUCAUUUUGAAUUCAGUGAAUAAAGCCACUGAUUCUGCACUGAACUCUAACAAUUUUCAUUUUGAAUUCAGUGAAUCAAGCCAUUGAAUGAGUACAAAUAUUACAAGUGCAACAACACUGAAUCAUCUGAACUCUAAUAGUUUCAAAGAGUCUCAUUGCAGUUUUUGCCAAAAAAUUACAAGUGCAACAGCACCAAAUUCAGUUUCAAACAACACUGAAUCAUCUGAACUCAUCAAACAUGUUCGCUCUCUUCAGCUUCUUGGGCACAUGUCCACUUGGCCCUGCUUGCUUCCUCUGCUUAGCUCUUAUUCUCCUGGCCUCUUCUUGCUGUUUCUUCCUUGCUUCUUGAUCUUCUUUUCUCUUCAGUGCUGCCAUAGUUCUCUUUGCUUCUUGAUCUUUAUUUCUCUUCAGUGCUAUCUCUGCUUUAGCUGUCAUUGCUUCAAGGGCUCUGGCCUCCUUCUCUUCUUGCAAUGCAGAUUGUCUUGCUGCUGUAGCUUCCAGCCUUGCUGCAGAUUCCAUAGCUUUCUUCUCUUGUGCCGCUCUUCUUCUUAUUUCUGACUUCUUUGCUUUCCUCAUAAUUUCUUGCCUUUUUUGCUUAUGUCUCCUCUGCUUUCUUCUCUGCCAUCUCAUUCAUGGCCUCAAGUGUUGCAUCUCUCCUGGCUGCCACCUGUCUUUCUUUCUCUCUUUUCAUCUCCAGCAACUUCAUGGUCUGGUUGCCUUCAUUUGUAGUUGUUGUUGUCUGUGCUGAAGUGUGAGAACUUGCUUCUAGUGAGAUGAAUGAUGAAUCUGGCCAAAUGCUUUUAGUAUCUUCUCUAGGAACAGGGCUGGAUUGUUGCAUCCUAUGAAGCAUUGUAAAUCCAAAGUCCUACACCUGUACAAAACAAUCAUCACAUGCUAGCAUCAGUACAACAAAAAAGGAAUGGGCCUGAAAAGUAUAACUAAAAAAAGGAAGGGACAAAAGUGGAGAAUUUGCCUGAAAAACAACUGCCGUAUCUGCUCCAUCAUCUUGUGUGACAAUGACCUCCUCAUGUGUAUCUUGGCCAUCAACACAGACCUCCUCAUGUGUAACUUGGCCAUCAACAUGGACCCCCUCCUAUGUAACUUGACCAUCAUCUUGUGUGACAUGAACCUCCUCCUGUGUACCUUGGCAAUCAUCUUGUUGUGGUAGAACAAGUUCAUCAUCUGACACAUCAUCAGGAAUGGCCCUUGGACCCCUUCUUGUUGUUCUCUCUGCUAGAUUUGGCAAAAUGCCAGCCUUUCUUUGAUUACUGUUGGGGAACGCAAUAAUUUCAAAAAAAAAUCCUACGAUCAUGCAAGAUCUAUCUAGGUGAUGCAUAGCAACAAGAGGGGAGAGUGUGUCCACGUACCCUCGUAGACCGAAAGCGGAAGUGUUAUGACAAUGCGGUUGAUGUAGUCAUACGUCUUCUCGAUCCGACCGAUCCUAGGACCGAAGGUACGAUACCUCCGUGAUCUGCACACAUUCAGCUCGAUGACAUCCCAUGAACUCUAGAUCUAGCUGAGGUCGCGGGAGAGUUUCAUUAGCACGACGGCGUGGCGACGGUGAUGAAGAAGUUAGCGGCGCAGGGCUUCGCCUAAGCACUACGACGAUAUGACCAAGGUGUGUAACUGUGGAGGGGGGCACCGCACACGGCUAAAAUAAUUGUCUGUUGUGUGUUCUAGGGUGCCCCCUGCUGAAAGUGCAAUCAUGCCCUUAAUCAUAUUUUGAUGUUGAUGACAACAUGCAUGUUGGGACUAAUCAUGUUUAUCAAGUAUAUCUCAGGAUUAUGUCUCAAGGGCGGUGUGUGGAUCAUGACUACGGACAUAAAACAUAUAUAUACAUAUAUCACUCGAGAGCAGAGACACAAGACAAAGACAGAAAGCUUCGGCUUCUUUUUCGGUUUGUUCUUGAGUAUAGGGAUCCCACAAUAUUAAGAGGGGAUCAAUGGAUUUUGUGAAAGAACUUGCUCAAACCCACAAAAUUCACUCACAUAUCAUCUCAAGAUUCUUCCUCUAACUUAUGCAUAAAUAUUGGUAUGGUCCUGAGAAGUUCAGCUACCACCGGACGUCCGAAAGUCUACGGACGUCCGUCCUCUCUCAGUUGACCAUACCUCCGGCUCUCACCGGUUGUUCGGUGCAUCUCCACAUAACUGAUAUUAGUGGAAGACCGGUCCCACCAAACGUCCGGCCACCGGACGUCCGCUCACCUCUGGAUAUCCGUUGCACGUCAACAGAAUGAUAUUUGCGUAUUUCCGACAACCCCGGACGUCCGGCCACCGGACGACGGUGCCUUCCGGGCGUCCGCUGACUGUAUAGUCCCAUACCUCGUCUGUGCCCCUGGUAGAUGUUCCAGCGACCGGACGACCGACGACCCAGGUGGACGUCCGGUCUAAUCUGUGGCACCGGUCAUCCGGUACCCACCGGGCGUCCGUCAGACCCUGUGCACUAAGUCGCUCAACGGUCUAUUUUCCACUCCCACUAUAUAUAGCCUUCUUCCCCCACAGGAGAGGGUUGACCAUUCACUUUGAGCUUGCCAAGAACACUUUUCACUCCUCUCUCACUCCUCUACACCAAAUCCUAGAUCCCCAAGUGAUUUGGGAACAUUUGAGAGAAGUUCUCCAAUCAAGUGAUAGAUCCACUCCUUCCCCUUAUUUGCACCAAAGAAAUUCGUGAUUUGAGCAAGUCUUGAGCUUUUCCCCAUCGUUCUUAUUACUCUUGGAGGUUGGAGACUCCUAGGCGGUAGGAGUCAUUCGGUGAUGAAUCAACCAUUGUGAUUACCCCCGGAAAGUUUGUGAGGGUUUGGAGACCACCCCAAGGUUUACCACUAGUGGUUGAGAAAUGCCUUCGUGGUGUUGUCUCAAAGAGAGAAUAGGGCGAGCCUUCGUGGCGUUGGUGUGCCUUCGUGGUAACAUCCACCUCUCUAAACGGUGACGUAGCUUCCCUCCAAGGAAGUGAACAUCGGCAUACAUCCUCGUCUCUCAGAGUUGUGGUUAUUCCUAACCCUAACUCCCUACUUGUGGUUACUUGUAUCUUGCACUUACGUUUAUCAUAUUGUGCUUGCUUACUCAUAUAUUUGUGCCACUUGUUUAUCUUGCUUAGCACUUAGUGUCACACUAGCAAUUGUUAGGCUUACUUACAUAUUCCGCAUUAUUGCCUAAAAUUGCUAAGUAACAAUUAAAAUUAGUUGUUGUACCUAUGCACCCCCCUCUAGGUCCAUCUCGAUCCUUUAAAUUGGUAUCAGAGCCUCAUGCUCUAUUCUUGUGGCUGAACUGCCCUAGAGCAAGAUGAACCCCGAUGGGACUCCCCUUGUUGCAGAUCCAAAGGAUAAAGGCGAGGCUUCUUCAGAAGUCAAGUCCUUUACCUCUGAGGAUCUGGAACGGGACCUUGCUAAGCAAAAAGAGGAGCAUGAUGCUUCUCUUGAGGCCUUGGUCCAAAUGAGAAUAUCCAUGUUGUCCACGGUGCUUGCACCACUUUCGGGUGGUGCAGCUUCGAGGCCAACUGUGCCUACUCCGUCACUUGGUCAACAACCUCCUAGCAAUGAUCACUCCAGUGUUCCUUGGCUUUAUGCAAUACCCCAAGUUGAGAAACCGAAAUAUAACCCUCAAGGCAAACCUCCUUUACUUGAUGCCACUUCCGAUUUUGCCUUGUGGAGAGUUGCUAUGCAGGAUCAUCUUCGAUAUGGAAAUGAUGAGAUGCUGGAGAUCUUGGAGUAUGGUUACCAUGUGGUUGAUCUAAAGAAUCCUACACCAAGAGAAAUUUAUGACAAUAAUCUCAAUGACACUGCAACCAUGUGUAUAAAGAGAGGUAUGGUUGAAAAGCAAAGGAGACCUUUCAUACACAUCACAAGUGCCAAGGAACUAUGGGAAAGUAUCAUAAGAUCCAAGACUGGUACCUCCACCCUCCGGAGUGCUCAAUAUGAAAUUGCCCAGGGGCAAUUGCAAAAAUUUUGUAUGGAGAAAGGUGAAACUCCCAAUCAACUCCUUGAGAAUCUCAUGACUCUCACCGUUGACAUUGAGUCAUGUGAGUGUGACAAGACACAAGAUGGAUUCAACAUGACUAAGCGAUUCCUUGUGGACAAGUUGCUUCAUGCUCAUGCCCCAUAUCACCAUCAAAUGGUGUGGGACAUAAGACAACACCAUGCCUUCAAGGUAAUGACUAUAGAUGACAUCAUAUCACCUUCCAACUAUUUGAAGAGUCGAAGGCAAAUGCCACAAAACAUCUUGCCAUGCAUGGUACUCCAACAUCAAAGAUCAAGCAUUGAAGGCCAAGCAUGUGUGUGAAGAUGAGCAAAGUGAAGAAGAAGAAGAAGAUGAUGAUGAUGAGCUUGAAUCCGAUGAGGGCCCUUCAUAUGAAGACAUGGCUCUCUUUGUCAAGAAGUUUAGCGCGGGAAAAUUCAAGGGAAGAUUUCAAAAGAAGAAAGUAAGAAAAUGCUACAACUGUGAAGAAACCAACCACUUCUCCAAUGAGUGCCCUUAUGAGAAGAGAGAGGAUAAACCAAGGUUUCCCAAUACCUUUCCCAAGAAGAAGUUGCCAAAUCCUUUGAACUCGAAGCUCAAGUAGAGAGAUGGGAAAGCAAUGGUUGCUCAAGAAGAAUCCGAUCCGGAUGAUGUUAAUGGUGUUGCCGGAGUUGCUCAAGAUUCUCAGAACACAUUGAAGCUAGUCAACAAGAGUGGUGAUGUUGUCACCUACAACUACAUGAGUGACUACAAGGGCAAGGCUCACAAGUGCCUCAUGGCAAAGUCCAUGGUAGAAGAUGGAGAGGACCAACACUCUCCUGACAAGGUCAAGGUAACCCCACGAUCAAACCCUCCUCUUUUCACUCCUUCUACUCCUAGUGAUGAGUAUCUUGAUGCAGAGGAUAGUUAUGAGGAUGAUGAUCUAGAUGAUCCUAUGCUUGCUAAACUUAAUAAGUUCAUGUGCUCCCUCAAAGGAAAGAAGCUCACUAUGUUUCGUAUGCUUAUGGAGAUGGUGAGUAAGCACACCAUCACCAUUAAGGAACUCGAAACCCUCGUCACCGAGGAAAAGGAAAAAUGUGAAAUCCUUGAGCGAAAAGUCCAAUAUGAGGAAGCACGAAAUGAUGAACUAUGCUUAAAAGUUGGUGCAAACAUUGAUGUUCAUACUAAAGAUCUUGCCUCCUUGAAAAAGGCUAUUGACUCUUGCGAAGAGUUGAUGAAUGAUAGAAGUAAGCUUGUGAAGUCUCAUGCUUCUCUCUCUAAGGAUUGUGAGCUUCUACCUGUGUCCCUCAAGACUAAGGAAGAAGAGCUCACCCUUCUUACAAAUAGUUUUGAGAUGCUCAAACUUACUUAUCUUGAAACUCCAGCCAAGGCUUACUCUUCUCCUAUUAUCAAUGUUGAUGCUUGUACUACUAACUCUAGUAGUGAUCUAGCAUCUAUUCUUGAGGAAAAUCGCUUUCUCAAGGCUCAAAUCAAGAAAGGUCUCAUGACAUGUGCUCAAGGGCAAAAGAAUCUUAAUGAGAUAUUGAGCCAACACAAUGAGGUGUUUGCCAAAGAGGGACUUGGGUUUGACCCAAGCUCAAGCAAGAAGAAUACGUCCUCUCAAAAGUGCACAACCCCUCUAAAGGAAACAUUUGUACGAUAAGGGCACAAGGAGAAAGGUAAGGUUGUUAGUGGGAAGGCCACAAGGGGCAUGCCCACUCUCAACAAGCCAAAAGAGUUCAUGCCUCCAUCCUAUGUACUUUGUAAGACUAAGGACGGAGAAGUUUAUGCAAAAUUUGUUGGUCCUCGAAAUGCAUUCCGAUUCUAUGCUAUUUGGGUCCCUAAGACCCUUGUGACUAACUUGAGAUGUCCCAUUGCAAAAUGGGUGCCUCUAACCAAGUCAUAAUUGUGUGUAGGUUGCCUUCUCCGGUGGAGUAAAAUGGGUGAUUGAUAGUGGAUGUACCAAUCAUAUGACCGGAGAUAGCAAAUUGCUCUACGAUUUCAUGGAUUCUAUUCAACCAUUCAUGAGCAUUAUGUUUGGUGGAGGUUCAAAAGGACAGGUACUCGGGUUGGGCAAUGUGGCUAUCACAAAUGACAUGUCUCUUGCAAAUGUCAUGCUUGUCCAAUCCCUUAAAUACCAUUUGCUUUCUGUUCGCCAAUUGGCUUCUGUUGGUUAUGAUACACUCUUUGGACUAACAAAUGUGAAAGUAUUUAAGAGAGAUACUCUCGAAGUGGCCAUUGUUGGAGAGUUGGAUGUCAAGCUUUACAUAGUUGAUUUCUCGAAAGAGAGCACAUUCCAUGCAACUUGUAUAAUGGCUAAGGCCGACAAGGGGUGGCUAUGGCAUCGCCGGCUAGCCCAUGUCGGCAUGAGAAAUCUUCAAGAUCUCUUAAAGGGGAAUCCCAUCCUUGGACUAACCAAUAUCUCUUUUGAGAAAGAUCGUGUGUGUAGUGCAUGCAUAGCAGGGAAGCAACAUCAAUCAAAGCACCUACCCAAGAACAUUGUAUCUACUUCAAGGCCCCUGGAGCUCCUUCAUGUGGAUCUUUUUGGGCCUCCUUCAUGGGAUAGUCUUGGUGGGAAAAAGUAUGGACUUGUCAUUGUUGAUGAUUACUCAAGAUAUACAUGGGUGUUUUUCCUCAAGUACAAGGAUGAGACGAAGAUUGAGGGAGUCCUGGAUUAGGGGGUAUCCGGACAGCCGGACUAUAUACUUUGGCCGGACUGUUGGACUAUGAAGAUACAAGAUUGAAGAUUUCGUCCUGUGUCCGGAUGGGACUCUCCUUGGCGUGGAAGGCAAGCUUGGCGAUUCGGAUAUGUAGAUCUCCUUCUCUGUAACCGACUCUGUGUAACCCUAGCCCCCUCCGGUGUCUAUAUAAAUCGGAGGGUUUAGUCUGUAGGACAACAACAAUCAUAAUCAUAGGCUAGCUUCUAGGGUUUAGCCUCUACGAUCUCGUGGUAGAUCAACUCUUGUAAUACUCAUAUCAUCAAGCUCAAUCAAGCAGGAAGUAGGGUAUUACCUCCAUCGAGAGGGCCUGAACCUGGGUAAACAUCGUGUCCCCAGCCUCCUGUUACCAUUAGCCUUAGACGGACAGUUCGGGACCCCCUACCCGAGAUCCGCUGGUUUUGACACCGACAUUGGUGCUUUCAUUGAGAGUUCCACUAUACCCUCGUGAUAAGGCUUGAUGGCUCCUUCAAUCAUCUUCAACGACACAGUCCAGGGGGGAGGUUUUCCUUCCCGGACAGAUCUUCGUAUUCGCCGACUUCGCACUGCAGGCCAAUUCGCUUGGCCAUCUGGAGCAGAUCGAUAGCUAUGCCCCUGGCCACCAGGUCAGGUUUGGAAGCCUAAACUACACUGCCGACAUCCGUGGAGACUUGAUCUUCGACUGAUUCGAGCCCGUGUCAGGAGCACCGAACAGUCCCGACGAGCAUGACUUAGAUCUGCCAUCGGACGAUAUUCGAGGGAUCGCGCCUGCGGCUGCCCGGGGAAUCAAUCCGGAGCAGAUUGCGCCAUCCGAGGACGGGUGGAUGGACCCCGCCAUGGAGGCCGCACACUCAUCGGCCUUGGAGCCGAACACUCAUUCCACCUCCUAUGAGGUCGGUACCAUCAGACCCUCGGACUCGUCUCCGGCUACAGGAUCCGAACCGCGUACGCUCGUGCCCAUCGAAUUUGAUUGGGAACCAGUCAUGGAGUUCACCUCCGCGGAUAUCUUUCAGCACUCACCCUUGGGUGACGUGCUAAACUCAUUAAGGUCUCUCUCUCUUUGUUAGGAGACUCUUGGCCGAACUAUGUCCGAAUCGAUUGGGAAGCGGACGAUGAAGAAAUUUGUUCCCUACCCACCACCCACUUAAUAGCCACUAUCAAUGACCGAACCGACGUGCUCGACUUCGACUCCGAAGACAUUGAUGGUAUGGACGACGAUGCAGGAGACGAACAGGAACCACCGCCUAUCGGGCGCUGGACAACCACCUCAUCAUAUGAUAUAUAUAUAUAUAUAUAUAUAUAUAUAUAUAUAUAUAUGGUGGACAUCCCCAAAGAAGGCAAUGGCGAUGAGACAAUGGAGGAUAAUCCCUCGGAGAAGCAAUCUAGGCACCGGCAUCAUAGAUGCCGCUCCAAGCCCCACCAUAGAAAAAAUAAUGAUACCGGCACAAGAUAUGACAACAAUUCGGAUGGUGCAAAGACAAAAACAAUC